UAUCUCCGUGACGGUGAGAUAUCGUGAUGUUCUUACUGGACUAGUGUAGCUCACUCCUUAAUUAACCAUUUCAGAUCAGGAAGACAUGGUUCCCGAGCCCGUUCCGCAGGAGGACGACGAAGGGGAUGCCUAGAGACUCUGUAGUCAUACGCAUAGUUUAUUUUCGAGUUUUCUUUCUUAGUUAGUUUAACCUUUUAUAUUUUAAGUACGUUUUUUUGGGUUUUUUUCGUGUAAGGGAUGUUAACUGAAAUUUUGAUCUUGCUUCCGCAUUCGAUAUAUUUAAAUACUCAUUUCUUUUUUAAUAUUUUCCGGGGCCGUUACAUAUA
This 326-nucleotide long non-coding RNA is filed under the name Carica papaya (papaya). RNAcentral describes it as "long non-coding RNA (CPAP_LNC014591)". Lineage: Eukaryota; Viridiplantae; Streptophyta; Magnoliopsida; Brassicales; Caricaceae. The record is from RNAcentral.